UCCCUGGUGGCUAAGUGGUAAAGAAUCUGCCUGCAAUGAGGAGAUGCAGAAGACACAGGUUCCAUUCCUGUGUCGGGUA
This 79-nucleotide transfer RNA is filed under the name Bos taurus (domestic cattle). It matches the Rfam family "tRNA". Rfam says of the family: Transfer RNA (tRNA) molecules are approximately 80 nucleotides in length. Their secondary structure includes four short double-helical elements and three loops (D, anti-codon, and T loops). Lineage: Eukaryota; Metazoa; Chordata; Mammalia; Artiodactyla; Bovidae. The record is from Rfam by way of RNAcentral. RNAcentral also lists the same sequence under 4 other names.